Molecule: ribosomal RNA, 253 nt
Filed under: uncultured bacterium
Lineage: Bacteria
Description: partial 16S ribosomal RNA
Rfam family: Bacterial small subunit ribosomal RNA
Source: RNAcentral
GACGAAGGAUGCAAGCGUUAUCCGGAUUCAUUGGGCGUAAAGGGUGUGUAGGUGGCGCCGUAAGUCGGGUGUGAAAUUUCGGAGCUUAACUCCGAAACUGCAUUCGAUACUGCGGUGCUUGAGGACUGGAGAGGAGACUGGAAUUCAUGGUGUAGCAGUGAAAUGCGUAGAGAUCAUGAGGAAGACCAGUGGCGAAGGCGGGUCUCUGGACAGUUCCUGACACUGAGACACGAAGGCCAGGGGAGCAAACGGG